Molecule: ribosomal RNA, 341 nt
Filed under: Megabalanus spinosus
Lineage: Eukaryota; Metazoa; Arthropoda; Thecostraca; Balanomorpha; Balanidae
Description: partial 12S ribosomal RNA
Source: RNAcentral
UGUUACUUAUAAGGAAAAAACUUUGGAAUAAUAGUAGUUUAUGAAAUUUAACGGAUUUGGCGGCAAGAUAGCCAUUUAGAGGAACCUGCCCUGUAAACGAUGAGCCACGAAGACCUUACUUUUGUUAGUUAUUCAGUUUGUAUACCGCUGUUGUCAGUUAGUUUCUUUAGAAAACUCUCGUGUAUGAUAUAAUCAUUGACUUCAAGUAAAGGUGCAGCUAAUGCAAAAGAUAGAGGUGGGUUACAUUUAAAAGAAUAAAACGGAUAAAGUUUAUGAAAAAUCUUUUGAAGGUGGAUUUAAUUGUAAAGUUCAAUAAAACUUGAUGGGAGCUCUGUCUUGUG